RNAcentral lists this long non-coding RNA (1668 nucleotides) under Homo sapiens (human). Its description in RNAcentral is "HSALNT0362549". Lineage: Eukaryota; Metazoa; Chordata; Mammalia; Primates; Hominidae. The record is from RNAcentral.
GGAACAUGCUGUGUGUCCAGCACAAAGCCCUGUCCAAUUUCAAAUUCAUCUAUGGCAGAGACGACUAGUUCUUCACCCCAAACUCAUUGCCUUUCCUUCCGGGGCACCUGUCGGCCCACAUUUCCCAGCCCACUUUGCAGUUGAGUGUGCUCAUGUGACUGAGCUACGGCCAAUGGGAUGCAAGCGGAAGUGACGUCCACCAAGUCCAGGUAAAGGCUGUUAAGGAAUGAUUACGCCCUCUCCUUCUCUUUCUCCUUCCAUCUGCCAGAUACAGAUGGCAAGGAUACAAAUGACAAGGAGAGGGGGGUUAUGGAGCCACAGCUGGAAGGAGUCUGGUCCUUGAAUCACCAUUUGGAGAAAAAACGUUUGUCAACCAGGAAUCCCCACUUUGGACUGUUGGGGUUGGGAGUGUGGGAAAUCUUUGUGUCUAAGCUCCAUGUGUUCCAGGGUCUGGUUGUUAGAGUCCUAAUCCAGUGCUCUCUCCAGCUGCAGAUGAUCCCAUCCUGCCUGCACAGCUUCUCCAGGGGAGAUAGACACACAGAAGCCCACGAGAGUCAAAUAAGAGCCAUACCUUCCAGGUCUCCAUGACACAGACAUCCUCCACCACACCUGUUAAGAAAGUCGAAAUCGUCACUGCCACCCACACUGGGGUUCUGCUUUCCUGAUUACACCUUUCUCAUCUCUAUCACCUAUGCCAGGAACCCAAACCCAAGUCUUCCCAGCUGUGUGCAGAAUCACAGUGGCCACACCAAGACAACAGUGCCCAGCAGCAGCAUAGUACACCUAAAGGUGCUGCACUCUUGAUGUGGAUGCUGAUGAAAAGGAGAGUAGAAAUAAUAACAAUAUGUUUCGACGGGGCAUGGUGGCUCAUGCCUGUAACCCCAGCACUUCGAGAGGCCAAGGCAAGAAGACCACUUGAGCCCAGGAAUUUGAGACCAGCCUGGGCCACAUAGUGAGAUCUCAUGUCUACAAAAAAUAAGCAAAAAUUAUCUGGGCAUGGUGGCAUGCACCUGUAGUCCUAGGUACUCAGGAGGCCGAGGUGAGAGGAUCACUGGAGCCUGGGAGAUUGAGGCUGCAGUGGCCCACGAUCAUGCCACUGAACUCCAGCCUGGGAGACAGAGCAAGACCCCAUCUCAAAAAAAAUGUGCCUGGGACCUUAUCUCAAAAAAACAACAAAAAACCCAAUAUGUUUUUUGUUACCUCCUUUGUGCCAGGCUCUGAAUUAAGCAUUCUAUGUGUGUUAUUUUAUCUACACUUUACAACUCCCCUACCAGACAGAUAAUAGUCUAGUCUCAUUUUAUAGAUGAAGAAACCGAGGUUCAUGGAGUUACAGCAUGACCCAUGCCACACAAUAAGUGUAUGAAAGGGCAGCAAAUUAAACCCUUGACUCUGAAGCCCAUGGUUUUAACCAUGGCUCUUUAUCCUCUCUCAUAGUUGCACACAUAUGACUAGAAAGGGACUCCAUUUUCCAGUGGAAAGUUGGCGGUCUGGGGGAGAAGUGGUAUGGCAACAUGUUGUCAGGAAGAAAGGACCAUAAUUCUGAGGCCCAGUGCCCAUCUGCUUGGCCAGCGUCAAAUGCCGGGGCACUCGGCCUCCUCAUCAGGCCACACACAGCAUCUACAGAGACAUUGACAAGCCCCACUGGAGUGCUGCCCAUGGAAGUGCAGG